GUCUUUUAAUUGGAGACUUGUAUGAAUGAUUUGAUGAAAUAUAAACUGUCUCUAUAUUAAAAAUAGAAUUUAAUUUUUUAGUUAAAAAGCUAAAAUUUAUUUAAAAGACGAGAAGACCCUGUAGAGUUUUAUAUUUAAAAUUAUAUUAAUUUUUUAUAAAAUUUUUAUUUAUUAUUUUUUUUAAAUAUUUUAUUGGGGUGAUAGAAAAAUUUAAUAAACUUUUUUUAAAAAUUUUACAUUAAUAUAUGAAAUUUUGAUCCAUAAUUUAUGAUUAAAAGAAUAAAUUACCUUAGGGAUAACAGCGUAAUUUUUUUUUUUAGUUCUUAUAAGAAAAAAAGUUUGCGACCUCGAUGUUGGAUUAAG
Molecule: ribosomal RNA, 363 nt
Filed under: Pieris extensa
Lineage: Eukaryota; Metazoa; Arthropoda; Insecta; Lepidoptera; Pieridae
Description: partial large subunit ribosomal RNA
Source: RNAcentral